UGGCAGAGCAGCGGAUUCCAAAUCCGCGUGUUGGGAGUUCGAAUCUCUCCACCCCUG
Molecule: transfer RNA, 57 nt
Filed under: Vibrio crassostreae
Lineage: Bacteria; Pseudomonadati; Pseudomonadota; Gammaproteobacteria; Vibrionales; Vibrionaceae
Also listed under: 1 other name
Description: tRNA-Trp
Rfam family: tRNA
About the family: Transfer RNA (tRNA) molecules are approximately 80 nucleotides in length. Their secondary structure includes four short double-helical elements and three loops (D, anti-codon, and T loops).
Source: RNAcentral